AACGAACGCUGGCGGUAUGCUUAACACAUGCAAGUCGAACGAACAAAAUUGGGGCUUGCUCCAAUUUUAGUGAGUGGCAAACGGGUGAGUAACACGUGGGAAUCUACCUAUCAGUACGGAAUAACAUUUGGAAACAGAUGCUAAUACCGUAUAUUCUCCAAGGAGGAAAGAUUUAUCGCUGAUAGAUGAGUCCGCGUAAGAUUAGGUAGUUGGUAGGGUAAUGGCCUACCAAGCCGACGAUCUUUAGCUGGUCUGAGAGGAUGAUCAGCCACACUGGGACUGAGACACGGCCCAGAAUCCUACGGGAGGCAGCAGUGGGGAAUAUUGGACAAUGGGCGAAAGCCUGAUCCAGCAAUACCGCGUGAAUGAUGAAGGCCUUAGGGUUGUAAAGUUCUUUUAGUUGGAAAGAUAAUGACGGUACCAACAGAAAAAGCCCCGGCUAACUCCGUGCCAGCCGCCGCCGUAA
RNAcentral lists this ribosomal RNA (466 nucleotides) under uncultured bacterium. Its description in RNAcentral is "partial 16S ribosomal RNA". It matches the Rfam family "Bacterial small subunit ribosomal RNA", at positions 29 to 523 of the family's 1533-position model. The record is from RNAcentral.